RNAcentral lists this ribosomal RNA (403 nucleotides) under Verrucomicrobiota bacterium. RNAcentral's name for it is "Verrucomicrobia bacterium partial 16S ribosomal RNA". It matches the Rfam family "Bacterial small subunit ribosomal RNA", at positions 355 to 776 of the family's 1533-position model. Lineage: Bacteria; Pseudomonadati; Verrucomicrobiota. The record is from RNAcentral.
UGGGGAAUAUUGCACAAUGGGGGAAACCCUGAUGCAGCGACGCCGCGUGAGCGAAGAAGGUUUUCGAAUCGUAAAGCUCUGUCCUAUGAGAAGAUAAUGACGGUACCAUAGGAGGAAGCCCCGGCUAACUACGUGCCAGCAGCCGCGGUAAUACGUAGGGGGCAAGCGUUGUCCGGAAUCACUGGGCGUAAAGGGUUCGCAGGCGGAAAUGCAAGUCAGUUGUGAAAGGCAGAGGCUCAACCUCUGUAAGCAAUUGAAACUGUAUUUCUUGAGAUGUGGAGAGGCAAGUGGAAUUCCUAGUGUAGCGGUGAAAUGCGUAGAUAUUAGGAAGAAUACCGGUGGCGAAGGCGACUUGCUGGACACAAACUGACGCUGAGGAACGAGAGCGUGGGUAGCAAACAGG